RNA transcript from Panicum virgatum (switchgrass), 1869 nucleotides. RefSeq lists it as uncharacterized. The record is from RefSeq and is a predicted model, not a curated record. The transcript has 2 exons. Lineage: Eukaryota; Viridiplantae; Streptophyta; Magnoliopsida; Poales; Poaceae.
CGCUAUGCGGCCUGCUAGCGGGGCCCAACGGCGCCGCGGAGCCCGCAAAACGAAAGGGCGAGGAGGCUGUGCGUCGUCCUCAUCUGCUUGACUCCUCGCAUGCGCCGCCGCCGCCAUCCACUUCCGCGCCGCCGCAGUCGCCAUUCGCGGCACCGCCGCCGGUCGCUAGCGGAUCCACAACUCUUGUUGCCAGCGGAUCUGGAGGCUUCUUGUCUCAUCCCCCUCUCGUCGCCGUCGAGUCUUCAAACCCCAAUCGCAAGAACAGCAUUGAAUCAACGGCAAGGGCAGCUGCGACGGUGUGCGCCUAAGUGGGAGAAGAACCUCGGGAAGACUAUCAUGCUGGACAACUGGAAGGAAGGCGGCAGCGACACAAACGAGAGCUGCAGCUACAAACAAGGUCCUCUCCGAGAAUAACAUGUCAGCUCUCAGAACGACCAAUAGCUCUCAGAAUAAUAGUGUGCAUCUGCAUGUGCAAUGGUCGCCGGAAUUCUGACAUUGAAACAUUAGGAACCGCUUGAACUUCUCUCCAUGCAUACGAUUGUGUGGUAUAUUAGAAGGAACAAUCGAUGUUACUCAUCGAAGGUAUAAACUUCUCACGGGGAAGAUAUAAGUGUUAGAGAUAUUAAAAAUCGCCUCGAGUUAUCAUGUAUUCUUGAGAUUUUUGCACCUUGCAUUGCCUUUUGUCCAAGAUGAAAGAGUGACUGAACGAAUCCAGUUCCCUUUAUUGCCCUUUUAUUAAGAAUAACUUCUUAUUUUGUAUGGUAUUACAAACUUCUUUGUUCCAGAUUUCUGAUUUUGUCAUAGCCAUGUUAUCCAUAACUGAAUUGCCCUUAAUGCUUUAUGUCUUCGAGUAAGGCUUUAUCAAGCUUGCUUUACCUAGCUGUCUGUUUAAAGGAGUGAGUUGCCACUAUCUUUACCUUCCUUUCAUGUAUUUUGUUCAGCCAGCUUCAUCUUGUGAUCACUAGUUUUCUUUUUAGAGAUUCAUCCUAUCAUAACCAUCUCUAAUUUGUCAGUCAUGUGUUGUUUAUUUUACUUACUAGCUGAUGGCUGGGAACUUGGGAAGCAGCCAAGCAGGCCAGGCGGCAGUGAUGAAACAAAGAGCCCUACAAAGCUGAUGUGUUGUUUUUGUAGUUAUUUUUUUUUAUGAUUUAUCAUUUAUUGUUCUACACAAAUACACACUAUGACUAGGACGGAAAAUAUCCCUGCCAUGUUCUUUUCUAUUUUCUUUCAGAUUUUCCCAUAAUUCUGGAUUGUUUAAAUAUGUGGUUUGGAAUGUAAAUCUAUACUAGUUUUAGUUUGGCUGCAAGCAAGAUUGCUGCCGGAGCAAGUGGAAACUAGGAAAAUCUUUACCCGCAUAUUUUGAUGGCCUAGAUCCUUUACUUGCAUUUCUAACUGCCUGAUCCUACUAUUAAUCACAACCACCUUUUACUCCAAUUCACUAAUGAUGUGUUCUUUUUUGAGAAUGUAGGUAGAUGUUUCUGGGUUCUACCUGCGAUGAUUCUGGGUUCUUUCUCGCGCUAUUACAUCACAGAAAGGAAAAAGCUUUGAGUUAUACUAGCCAACUUGUUCAUGCUGCUCCAAGAUGAUGCCAUUCUAGUGAUAAGAUUGGCAGUGAAUCGCCUGCUCUGUUUUAACCUGACUACGAUUUUAUGUUCCUUUUGACAUUUUAGUAGUUUCUUAGACUGCAAUCGAAGUAGCUGCAGCAGCAGCAGGAUUGCUAAGCCAUGUGGAGAAAAAAAUGAGAAAAAGUGAUGGACCCAAGUGCAGGGCUAAUAGAUUAGUGUGUCGUCUGAACAAUGGUCUUGACUUCUUGUUAUGAAAUGGAAGCCUUACGUAAUGUAUAAUCCAUUUUAAUCUUUUCAGUCACUA